GAUGAACGCUACGCUACAGGCUUAACACAUGCAAGUCGAGGGGCAGCGGGAUUGAAGCUUGCUUCAAUUGCCGGCGACCGGCGCACGGGUGAGUAACGCGUAUCCAACCUUCCGUACACUCAGGGAUAGCCUUUCGAAAGAAAGAUUAAUACCUGAUGGUAUGAUGAGAUUGCAUGAUAGCAUCAUUAAAGAUUUAUCGGUGUACGAUGGGGAUGCGUUCCAUUAGGUAGUAGGCGGGGUAACGGCCCACCUAGCCGACGAUGGAUAGGGGUUCUGAGAGGAAGGUCCCCCACAUUGGAACUGAGACACGGUCCAAACUCCUACGGGAGGCAGCAGUGAGGAAUAUUGGUCAAUGGACGAGAGUCUGAACCAGCCAAGUAGCGUGAAGGAUGAAGGUCCUACGGAUUGUAAACUUCUUUUAUAAGGGAAUAAACCCUCCCACGUGUGGGAGCUUGUAUGUACCUUAUGAAUAAGCAUCGGCUAACUCCGUGCCAGCAGCCG
RNAcentral lists this ribosomal RNA (501 nucleotides) under uncultured bacterium. RNAcentral describes it as "bacterial SSU rRNA". It matches the Rfam family "Bacterial small subunit ribosomal RNA", at positions 28 to 517 of the family's 1533-position model. The record is from RNAcentral.